This 517-nucleotide ribosomal RNA is filed under the name uncultured bacterium. RNAcentral describes it as "partial 16S ribosomal RNA". The record is from RNAcentral.
ACCAGACGAUGCGGUUACCGCGGCUGCUGGCACGGAGUUAGCCGGUGCUUCUUCUGUGAGUGAUGUCCUUCCUGCCGGCUAUUAACCCGCAGGCCUUCUUCCUCACUGAAAGUGCUUUACAACCCGAAGGCCUUCUUCACACACGCGGCAUGGCUGGAUCAGGGUUGCCCCCAUUGUCCAAUAUUCCCCACUGCUGCCUCCCGUAGGAGUCUGGGCCGUGUCUCAGUCCCAGUGUGGCUGAUCAUCCUCUCAGACCAGCUACGGAUCGUCGCCUUGGUGAGCCGUUACCUCACCAACCAGCUAAUCCGACAUAGGCUCAUCCGAUAGCGCGAGGCCCGAAGGUCCCCCGCUUUCCCCCGUAGGGCGUAUGCGGUAUUAGCCUGGGUUUCCCCAGGUUAUCCCCACUACCGGGCAGAUUCCUAUGCAUUACUCACCCGUCCGCCGCUCGCCACCAGGGAGCAAGCUCCCCGUGCUGCCGCUCGACUUGCAUGUGUUAGGCCUGCCGCCAGCGUUCAAU